This 459-nucleotide ribosomal RNA is filed under the name uncultured bacterium. Its description in RNAcentral is "SSU rRNA". It matches the Rfam family "Bacterial small subunit ribosomal RNA", at positions 26 to 518 of the family's 1533-position model. The record is from RNAcentral.
AGAAUCAACGCUGGCGGCGUGCCUAACACAUGCAAGUCGAACGAGAAAGUGGAGCAAUCCAUGAGUAAAGUGGCGCACGGGUGAGUAACACGUGACUAACCUACCCUUGAGUGGGGGAUAACCUAGAGAAAUCUGGGCUAAUACCGCAUAAUACCUUCGGGUCAAAGGAGCAAUUCGCUUAAGGAGGGGGUCGCGGCCGAUUAGUUAGUUGGCGGGGUAAUGGCCCACCAAGGCGAAGAUCGGUAGCCGGCCUGAGAGGGCGCACGGCCACACUGGAACUGAAACACGGUCCAGACUCCUACGGGAGGCAGCAGUGGGGAAUUUGCGCAAUGGGGGAAACCCUGACGCAGCAACGCCGCGUGGAGGAUGAAGUCCCUUGGGACGUAAACUCCUUUCGACCAAGACGAUAAUGACGGUACUGGUGGAAGAAGCACCGGCUAACUCUGCGCCAGCAGCCGC